CGAAAGCCUGACGGAGCAAUACCGCGUGAGGGAGGAAGGCUCUUGGGUCGUAAACCUCUUUUCUCAGGGAAGAACACAAUGACGGUACCUGAGGAAUAAGCAUCGGCUAACUCCGUGCCAGCAGCCGCGGUAAUACGGAGGAUGCAAGCGUUAUCCGGAAUGAUUGGGCGUAAAGCGUCCGCAGGUGGCGAUGUAAGUCUGCUGUUAAAGAGUGAGGCUCAACCUCAUAAGAGCAGUGGAAACUACAUAGCUAGAGUACGUUCGGGGCAGAGGGAAUUCCUGGUGUAGCGGUGAAAUGCGUAGAGAUCAGGAAGAACACCAGUGGCGAAGGCGCUCUGCUAGGCCGUAACUGACACUGAGGGACGAAAGC
This 370-nucleotide ribosomal RNA is filed under the name uncultured cyanobacterium. RNAcentral's name for it is "bacterial SSU rRNA". It matches the Rfam family "Bacterial small subunit ribosomal RNA", at positions 376 to 760 of the family's 1533-position model. The record is from RNAcentral. Lineage: Bacteria; Bacillati; Cyanobacteriota.